CAUAAAGUAGAAAGCACUACUAGACGGCACUGCACGGUGUAGUGUUUCCUACUUUAUGGA
RNAcentral lists this microRNA precursor (60 nucleotides) under Sphenodon punctatus (tuatara). RNAcentral's name for it is "Spt-Mir-142-P2_pre stem-loop". It matches the Rfam family "mir-142 microRNA precursor family", at positions 14 to 73 of the family's 85-position model. The record is from RNAcentral. Lineage: Eukaryota; Metazoa; Chordata; Lepidosauria; Sphenodontia; Sphenodontidae.